Molecule: long non-coding RNA, 2456 nt
Filed under: Pelobates cultripes (western spadefoot toad)
Lineage: Eukaryota; Metazoa; Chordata; Amphibia; Anura; Pelobatidae
Source: RNAcentral
CUCAUUGCAAGCAUACAAUGCAAGAAUUACAAUAAUGUACAAUAUUGAUGCAUAAAUUAUAAAAUAAUUCUACUUUCAGAUUGUAUUUUCCAUAUUUGAGAUUUUGCAAAAAUAUUUAUUUCUCUCAAUACGGAAAUAUGCAUAUUUAGGUUGUUAGGACUUGUUUUAAUAGAAUUAAAUAGAAUUUAAUAGAAUUAAUUUCCCCAGACAAGAUGUCACGUUUGUGUCACCAAUUUUUCAAAGUGUAUUUUGGCCGUAAUCUGUAGCACUUUAAACGUGGAUUACAGACUGCAAAAGUUACACAUCCAAUUAUCAGAAUAACUGUGCUAUUGACAGGGUUGGCUGUUGAAAAGCGAACGUGAUAGCCCAUGUAUGAAAUUGAAAAUUAGAGAACAAGUUCACUCAAAUAAUCAUUUUUGCAACGGUACGCUACUAGAAUAAUUGUGAGAACAAAUACCUACAUUUAGGCAUUUACAUAAAUCUACUUUUUAGCCAUUCCAUGUCACAAAGGAAUGCAUGCUUCGUUUGUGCAUCUAGCAUGAACUGAAAUUCCAUUUUUUCAUGGAGGUGCUAAGGGAGCAAUGACAUGAACAACAUCUUUAUAAAAAAAAAAAAAAAAAAAAUUAAUAAAAAAAUAGAAUACUGGUUGCCAGUUCUUGACAUAUAUUGCAACCUGUUGCUUUUCUUAAUAUUUUUUAAAGUAAUAAAUACUAACAAUUUAAUUUGUGAAUAAUAGAGCAUAAAGUGGCAUAUUUGCACUACGUAGUUAGUAAUGGAGGAUGAUAUGGACCAUAUCUAAAUAAAUAUAUAUUCAGAUUUUUUAUUUCAAUUAAAUAUUUAUGGAAACAUUUUCAAGGUGCAUGUUAACCAAUUCACUGACUUAUCAGACGUCACACAAAAAGUAAAAAAAAAAAAAAUGAAACAGAUCAGCUAAAUCCAGGGAUACCCAUUUGCUCACACAAUGACAAAGAACCUGACUAUUUUUCCAUCCUCUUCUCUAUGCAAAUCAGCAUUCACAUCAAAUGUUAAGGAGGUAAAGGCAUUUAUAUUAUAAAGGAUACUGUAUGUUAGCUUUUUUUUUUUCUAAUUGGGUUUAAAAAUGUAGAUGCUAUACAGCAGUGUGAGAAAUAUAGCUUUUCAUACCAAUGCACACAUGUGCAUCCUAAAUGAAAAAAGUGACUUUUAGAAAAGCAAGGGGGGCAAUCAAAUCUAAAUAUUAGAUUACGAUCGAUCCUACCCUUCUAACAAACAUGAAAACAUCACUAGAAGGAAUCUCCAGGCACCAAAACUCCAACAGAAUCUUUGUUGUUAAUGCCACAGAAAGUGCAAAAACAUCUUGCACCAUAACUAGCCACAUAGCAUAGCAAAAUCCCAUUCAAGGGAAAAGUCAGUACAUGUAUAAUACGGCUGCAGACAGCUUCUCGUUCACUUGAAAUGAAAGUCUUUAUUACAAGAAUAGACUUUUGUUAGUUUAGUUGACAUAAUUUUUCAAUUGAAGAAGAAAAUGGUUUUGGUGUAAUUACUCAUGUGCAUGCUUUUCUUACAUUGGUUUCAAAGGGAAAUUAAUGAGCAUGCUUUUGUGACUAGUAUUGGCUAAAAUAUCUCAGCCAUUUCUUGUUAUUAUUUAUACAGCGCCAACAUAAUCUGUAGCGUUGUAUAAUAUCUACCUGGUAUAUGAGAUUCCUUGGAAGUCUGAUCUAUUAUAGGUAGCUAUGAACACAUCUCUUCUUAUACCCAUUAGACAUCCAUACCUAAGAUGAAUAGGAACAUAGAAUAUGUAAUAUUCUACAAGCACACUACAAAAUAUAGAAAGGGGAUAUUUAGAGACGAAGAAGGCCCUGCUCAAAACAAGAUUCAUUACUGUAGAAACAUCAAUAACCAUGAGCUUUUCUGCAAAAGUGCGAAAAAACACACACAACAAAUCAUUUUUAUCACUAUAAAGUAUAAAAACAGAGAGGUAAAUUUAUAUUGGAGUGACUUGGAAAAGAAAAAUAAGUUGGGGUAAUAAUAAGAAAUCUCUCUAAAUGCAGACAAAUACGACCUCUGUGGUUCCAAUACCACUUAAAGGAACCAAUCCACUAAACACAAAGUACAAAUCCCACAAACUGACAAGGUGGCUCUUAAUGUACCACUAUAGUGCCAGGAAAACAUACCCUCAGGGUCCCCCUCCCGCCGGGCUCUGGAGAGAGGAAGGGGUUAAAAUCUUACCUUUCUCCAGCGCCGGGCGGGGAGCUUUCCUCCUCCCUAGCGACGUCAUCGGCAGAAUGCGCAUGCGCGGCAGGAGCUGCGCACACAUUCAGCCAGUUCAUAGGAAAGCAUUUAUAAUGCUUUCCUAUGGACGCUGGCGUCUUCUCACUGUGAUUUUCAAUGAGACAGCCACUAGGGGCUGGAUUAACCCUAACCUAAACAUAGCCGUUUCUCUGAAACGGCUAUGUUUACUGCAAAAAGGGUUAACC